RNAcentral lists this small nucleolar RNA (71 nucleotides) under Myotis lucifugus (little brown bat). Its description in RNAcentral is "Small nucleolar RNA SNORD112 (ENSMLUG00000025169.1)". The record is from RNAcentral. Lineage: Eukaryota; Metazoa; Chordata; Mammalia; Chiroptera; Vespertilionidae.
UGGGCCAAGGAUGAUAAUUUUCAUGAACACAGAAGUAUGAGUAAUCUAAUUCUAUGCACUGAAGGUCCAAA